Molecule: ribosomal RNA, 636 nt
Filed under: Aspergillus sp.
Lineage: Eukaryota; Fungi; Ascomycota; Eurotiomycetes; Eurotiales; Aspergillaceae
Description: SSU rRNA
Rfam family: Eukaryotic small subunit ribosomal RNA
Source: RNAcentral
UGGAAUGAGUACAAUCUAAAUCCCUUAACGAGGAACAAUUGGAGGGCAAGUCUGGUGCCAGCAGCCGCGGUAAUUCCAGCUCCAAUAGCGUAUAUUAAAGUUGUUGCAGUUAAAAAGCUCGUAGUUGAACCUUGGGUCUGGCUGGCCGGUCCGCCUCACCGCGAGUACUGGUCCGGCUGGACCUUUCCUUCUGGGGAACCUCAUGGCCUUCACUGGCUGUGGGGGGAACCAGGACUUUUACUGUGAAAAAAUUAGAGUGUUCAAAGCAGGCCUUUGCUCGAAUACAUUAGCAUGGAAUAAUAGAAUAGGACGUGCGGUUCUAUUUUGUUGGUUUCUAGGACCGCCGUAAUGAUUAAUAGGGAUAGUCGGGGGCGUCAGUAUUCAGCUGUCAGAGGUGAAAUUCUUGGAUUUGCUGAAGACUAACUACUGCGAAAGCAUUCGCCAAGGAUGUUUUCAUUAAUCAGGGAACGAAAGUUAGGGGAUCGAAGACGAUCAGAUACCGUCGUAGUCUUAACCAUAAACUAUGCCGACUAGGGAUCGGGCGGUGUUUCUAUGAUGACCCGCUCGGCACCUUACGAGAAAUCAAAGUUUUUGGGUUCUGGGGGGAGUAUGGUCGCAAGGCUGAAACUUAAAGGA